Molecule: ribosomal RNA, 522 nt
Filed under: uncultured bacterium
Lineage: Bacteria
Description: bacterial SSU rRNA
Rfam family: Bacterial small subunit ribosomal RNA
Source: RNAcentral
AAUAGAUACCCGGGUAGUCCACGCCGUAAACGAUGAGUGCUAAGUGUUAGAGGGUUUCCGCCCUUUAGUGCUGCAGCUAACGCAUUAAGCACUCCGCCUGGGGAGUACGGCCGCAAGGCUGAAACUCAAAGGAAUUGACGGGGGCCCGCACAAGCGGUGGAGCAUGUGGUUUAAUUCGAAGCAACGCGAAGAACCUUACCAGGUCUUGACAUCCUCUGCCAACCCUAGAGAUAGGGCGUUCCCCUUCGGGGGACAGAGUGACAGGUGGUGCAUGGUUGUCGUCAGCUCGUGUCGUGAGAUGUUGGGUUAAGUCCCGCAACGAGCGCAACCCUUGAUCUUAGUUGCCAGCAUUUAGUUGGGCACUCUAAGGUGACUGCCGGUGACAAACCGGAGGAAGGUGGGGAUGACGUCAAAUCAUCAUGCCCCUUAUGACCUGGACUACACACGUGCUACAAUGGAUGGUACAAAGAGCUGCGAACCCGCGAGGGUAAGCCAAUCUCAUAAAGCCAUUCUCAGUUCGGA